RNAcentral lists this ribosomal RNA (253 nucleotides) under uncultured bacterium. Its description in RNAcentral is "partial 16S ribosomal RNA". It matches the Rfam family "Bacterial small subunit ribosomal RNA", at positions 524 to 776 of the family's 1533-position model. The record is from RNAcentral.
UACGGAGGGGGCUAGCGUUGUUCGGAAUUACUGGGCGUAAAGCGCACGUAGGCGGCUUUGUAAGUUAGAGGUGAAAGCCCGGAGCUCAACUCCGGAAUUGCCUUUAAGACUGCAUCGCUCGAAUCAUGGAGAGGUGAGUGGAAUUCCGAGUGUAGAGGUGAAAUUCGUAGAUAUUCGGAAGAACACCAGUGACGAAGGCGACUCACUGGACAUGUAUUGACGCUGAGGUGCGAAAGCGUGGGGAGCAAACAGG